CCUGGUGAUUAUUGUGAGGGGGAAACACCCGUUCCCAUUCCGAACACGGAAGUUAAGCCCCUCAACGCCGAUGGUACUGCCUUCGCGGUGGGAGAGUAGGUCGUCGCCAGGC
RNAcentral lists this ribosomal RNA (112 nucleotides) under Spirochaetaceae bacterium. The record is from RNAcentral. Lineage: Bacteria; Pseudomonadati; Spirochaetota; Spirochaetia; Spirochaetales; Spirochaetaceae.